CUAAAUGUGAAGACGGAAAAAGUAAUUAAGUCCAUCACAAAGAGAGACAGUGGUUGGUGUGAACUGUUUGAGAAGCUUAAUGAAGUACAUUCCUGAACUGCAGGCUGAAAUUUUUAGUAGGCUGAGCCGAGUAACUCACGUUAAGAGUAAGAGAAGAUCAAUUUUGUAUGUAAAAGUAGGGUGGUACCACGUAUAAUUCGUCCCUUGG
Molecule: non-coding RNA, 208 nt
Filed under: Clostridium magnum
Lineage: Bacteria; Bacillati; Bacillota; Clostridia; Eubacteriales; Clostridiaceae
Description: T-box sequence
Rfam family: T-box leader
About the family: Uncharged tRNA acts as the effector for transcription antitermination of genes in the T-box leader family. T-boxes are found upstream of many aminoacyl-tRNA synthetase genes and some amino acid biosynthetic genes usually in Gram-positive bacteria. The anticodon of a specific tRNA base pairs to a specifier sequence within the T-box motif, and the NCCA acceptor tail of the tRNA base pairs to a conserved bulge in the T-box antiterminator hairpin.
Source: RNAcentral